AGCUAUCAUUCACGGCGAAUAGAGAAGACGCCAACUUCAAGUUGGAGAAAGCAAGAAAUUAUCGAUUGGCUGACUGCAAAAGGUAUUGCGUUUGAAGCAAAUUUGAUAAAAAAAGAACUGCUGGCAAUAGCAAACUUACACAAAACUCGUUUCAUGAAAUACGCCGUGGAAGAUAUAGCCGAAAAAUAUAAUAUAACUGUACUGCGCUACCGCCAUAUCAUUGCGAACUAAAUCCUAUAGAACUGAUAUGGGCGCAGGUAAAAGGAUUUGUAGCAAGACAAAACACGACUUUUAAAAUGAAAGAUGUUAAGCUACUGUUUGAUCAAGCCAUUACGGAAGCGACACCAGAGAAUUGGCGAAAAGCAGUCCAGCAUGUAAUUAAGCAAGAGGACAAAAUGUGGGAUCUUGACAACCUCAUCGAUCAGACAGUCGAUCCUUUAAUUAUAAUGUCAAGAGGUGAUGACAGUUCGUCAGAUGACGAAGAAGACUACAAUCUAUUAUAAUUUAAAAUUGUUAUACACUGUUCAAAAAGUGCCAGAUCCAAAAGUGACAUUUUCAACUGUUUUACUCUACAUAUUAUGUUCAAUAAAUUUGUGAAAAAAAUAUAUUAUUCCAUUUAAACAAAAGUAACUUUCUAAAAUAAAAUAGCAUUUAAGUACAUUAAUUAUAAGGUAAAAAACAAGUCCCAGUUGCACGCCUUUGGCGAACCGUUUUCAAUGUUUAUCAGUGGGUAACAAUGGGCAAAACUCAUAAAUUGACCCAAAACCGGGUGGCACUACCUGCAAUCAACGAAAAGAAAGAAUUUUACAUUGAAACUAAUACCCAACUAAGGUAGUGGCAUAAAAUAUUGGUGGAUCACCAGGUACCACUUUUGCAUACCUAAUGAGGUUUUAUUGCUCUACACACUUCUGAAAUAGAGUAUAGCUAAUCCAUAUAAUAAGGCACUUGAUAAUAGCGUCGCUUGAGGUAUCGUUCUCGAGUAUGCGAGUAUGCGCUUUCCACUUUGCCUCAAACACUGUCGUUAACUGAUACUGAACUAUUCAAGAACCACCAAACGGCCAAUACGAUAUUAUGUACAAUGCUUUUUUAUUUAUUUUUAUUAUAAUAUCGUUUUGACAAUAACAUUAUUAUAUUACAGAAUGUACGUAUUUUUUGCCUAGUAUUUUCUGAAUAAAAUAUUAAGUUUUGUUCUUCUGAUAUUAAGAUUUGGAAAAUUCUUGUUUAGAAAUUCGAAAUAAGUACAUUAAGGAAGUAUGUUGCAUGAAAUCCAAGUGCUAAUAGGAUGCGUUCUCAUGGAGAUAGAGCAGAUCUAUAGUUCGUAUUUUCUUUUUGAAUUAAGGAAGAAAUUUUGCAAAGCAACCAUUCCAAAUCAGUAGUACACGUGCGAUAAAAUAUUUUUAAAUAUCCAUUAUUAAUACAUUCGGAUGUUAUUUCAUCUUUUUUUAAGGAACUUAAAAGAUAGAUGACACCUUGUGACUUUCUUUCUAAAAGAUUUGGUCUGGUCCAACAUUUUCGGACCCGUUUCGUCUGUUUUUGUAAAAUAACUACAACUGCAAAAGCUGCCUGUAAGUCUUUGUCGCAUCACAUUGUUCAGAAUAAUAAAAAUAACUGCACUGAUAUAUAGAUACACGUUUCCUGUUGCAGCAAACAACAAAAUAUUCACAAGAAUGAGUUUCCUGAGUUUCUGUUUCCAUAAACAAGUAGCAGCGACAAAAUGUUCCUCUGUGUUUCUUUAGUGUGGCUUUACAAUCACAACUUGGAAAUCAAGAUGACUGGAGGGGAUAGAUCCUAUGCUUGCCGCAUGCAUAGCGCUAAACAUUUGUAAAUAUUUGUGCUCUGUCGCGCUAAAGUCGAUCUACGGGAACCAGCUAAUUUGCCCACUCUCCCACGCGUCUCAUUAUAUGUCUAUUUCCUUCCCUCGUUUCUAUGUCACCUCCGCUGCCACUUGUUCUCCGUCCGCGUGUUUUGAGUUUGUUCACGUAUUGAUUAGGGCAUUCAGGGCCUUGAAAUCUUGGGCGAUUUACGGAACAUUAAAAACCUUCUACUUCAUACAUUUAAUGCAGAUUUUUUUAAACUCAAGCAUCGAAUUACGUCAUAUAAAAUUUGGCCAUUUGUCAUAGUCUUUAGCUUGCACAGGCUAAACUAACUUUCAUUAAUAAAGUUUUGCGAAAAAUCUUUAAAAAAUUUAUAUGUUCUCAUACUUCGCACAAAAUUUUUCAGAUUAGUUCAGUGUGUUGUGUGCUAAUUGUGAUUAGUUUUCAUUUGGGUGGAUACACGUGGGAUACAAAAAAAAUUCUAAGAAGAAGCGGUUGUGCUAAAUCUGUGGUUAGCAAAAAACACAGAUAGCAGGGCCAAUAUGUUUAAUACUUGGGUUCAGAUUCUUCCUGAUGCCUUAAACCAUGAAAAUCUCAGUAAUAAUCAAUUCUUUGCAUGUGAAAAUUAUUUUUCACAUUUAUUCAAGCAGAAUUCAAGGAGAGGCCUUAAACCAGUUGUCAUACCUUCGGUUAACCUCGUAGGCUUAAUAGAAGAUCACGAUUAUAAGGAACUGACCACUUUUGAUCACAUAGAGCAGCAGCCGACAACAAAAUAUGCUGAUGGGUUGAUAGCUAAAAACUGCACCUAGGUCUUAAGCAAUACCAUAAAAUCCUAGCCGGAUAAUAUGGCAAAAUGGGAUAAGAUUUUUUUUAAUGGUAUUAACAAUGAAUACUUUAAAAUAUGCAUUCUAUUUCAAGACAUUGGAUUCCAAAAUAAAUUACCCAGUGAAGUUUAAUACGGAGUAGAAUUCAUUUUCUCUUUGUAUACUUUUUGACAGCCUCAAUGUCAAAACUUACUCAAAAUGUGACGCCAAAUCUGAGAGAAGAGCAAUUUCGACAGUUUCAAUGCAUGACCAAUUUUGGAUCCUAUACAAAUCUUGGAGAAUUUUUCAAAUGCUAUUAGAAAAAUGAAAGUGGCAAACUAAGGUUAAAGAAGGGGUUUCAACUCGAAAUCCCGACAAGAGAAGAAUGGUCGGCGAACCAAAUUAAAGAGCCAAGUGGUUUCCAGGCCUGGUACACAGAUGGAUUAUGGAUGAAAAGCACCAAUUCAGCCGGAGCCGGAGUGUACAGGAUGGAAACGAACACAGGGGAAUCCUUCCCGCUAGGGAAACAUACCACAGUUUUCCAAGCGGAGGUGUUUGCUAUACUCGAAAUAGCACUUUGUGAAUAACUCGUGAAUUUUUUGCUAUAAUCUCUUCUUAAAAUAUGGUAAGACAUUUUGUAAAUAUUUGUUAUUUAAUUUCUGAAUUCCAGACCUAUUUAUCUAGUAGGAAAUGUAUGGAUCUUUUAGAAAUUACACUUGGCAAAUAAAAAAAACACAAAUCGGGGACUUUAUUUAAUAUGGACAAAAACAGUCCCGAUUUGACACUUUUGCAGCCUGCCUACUAUAAUUUCCGAAAGAACCACACAUUUCCCACUAGUUUUAAGCGCAUGAUAGAGUAGAGCGUAAUUCAAAUUUGGCGCUAUAAUGAAAUUUAAAAUUAACCGCUAUUAUGAUAUCACAAACCCAUUUUCACGUCCGGUUAGUACUAAUCUUCGACAAACAGAGCGCGCAACAGUCAAUCUGUGUUUAGUGUUCUGUUGGCUUUUUUGGGAGUUCCCUAUCUAAGAAGUUUUAAUCUAUGGUAUUGAUUUUUAUUAAUUCAUUUACAUUUCCCAGGCAGGUGUUCCCACCACAGAUUACUAACACUUAUACUAAUACUUGUUGCACACUACGCUACUGCCCGUAUAGCAUGCCACACAGGAUUUGGCUCACCCAGCAUAGGCAAGAUAUCUCUCCGCUCUCGAGUUUCUUUGAAACACUUUUAACGAUAAUACAACGCUGGUACUUGGCGGUAAUAAAUGUUGUUCUUCUUCCUUCGUGUCUCCUGAGUUUCUUCAGGAGACGAUGGUCUAAACGGCUGUGGCUAUUCAAACCAACUUCUGUGUCUUCGUCUCUAGUAUAUGUAUACUGCGUAGUGCGAUUAGAGGGACUCUUCACAAAACUUUUAAAAAACUUCUCAAUGCACGUUGUCGCCUAUAGGCGGGUACUCACUUAAAUCUACUAUAUUUGUGUUCUGUGACUUAAAGUAUCUGAUACGGUAUCAACCUGCAAGUGUGUACGCCUCGUCUUCGUUUACUGCGUAUCCAGCUAAGAGCUUUCGGCUCCGCUCUUUUUAGCAAGAGCUUCGCAGUGCUCGCAAAGAAAUCACGCGGAAAAUGUUAUCCGAAAUGGUGGCUUGUGCUGCGUUUAUAUUUAUAUACAACCUCACUGAAGAUUAUAAAAGGCCGCGUCGAUUUUGGCAAAGUGAAAUAUACAGAAAAAGAAAUCGAACUAAUUUAAUAUUGGACAUGUCUCAAGAGAUCAGUGGACAUUUCAAGAAUUUCACGCAUAUGGCAUCUACGGAUUUUGAAUUCCUGUUAAAUCUUAUUGGACCUAAGAUUUUCACUAAAGACACGAUGUUCAGAAAAGCUAUAACAGUUCAAGACAAAUUGGCUGUAACACUGAGAUUUUUGGCAAGUGGUAAUUCGUUUACUAGUUUGCAGUAUACAUUUAGAAUAUCCAAGCAAGUCAUAAGCAAAUUUGUUCCAGAAGUUUGUAAAGCAAUCGUUGACGUACAAUGUAACGUUAAAAGGCAACGUGAAGGUAAGAUAUUUUUAUUAUUUUUUAAACUAUACCAAUACCUAAUCAUUAAAGUCCAUAUUAAGUAACUCUGACAAUUCACUAUGCGGAGAUGGCUGACAAGUUGGUGAUGGUUGUCCUGAAUGUAUCUGAAUAGGAGAUAGGGGGUGUUGAGAGUCUUUUGAAGACAUCAAUUGCUUUGUGAUUGUAGAUGCUCCGAAAUACUCUGAGUAUAGAUGAUCUGAAGCUAGCUGCUUUAGAGACGAAUGUCGGGAUGACAGGUUUGAAGAUGACUGCGCCAGAGUCGUUCUAGUCGAUCUAGUUGAGUAGGAACAUGUAACACAUAUCCGGAUGUAUCCGGAUGUACAUGGUAUUCACCUGGUCGUAUCGUAACAGGUUGAAUGUUAACAUUAUUAUCAAAGUAACGUCUGUCUGCUUUGAAAAUUAAGUCGCAUAUGCCUUCUUGCACAGCGUUUUUAGUGUUUUCGGAAUACUUUGUCAUUUUACUUCCUACGAAUUCCAAAAAACUUCUAAUUUCGUCAUUUUUUAUAUUGCUAAUUGGAUCAGUUGGUUUUGAUGAAGCCGUUUUUAAGAUUCCGAAAGCCUCUUUCAGCAUUUGUAAUUUUGGAUCUGGUUUUGCCGAUUUCCUUGGUGGCUCUGGCGCUACUUCUGGUGUUGCUAAGCUGUCUUCUUCAGCUAUUUCAUCAUGUCCUGUCUUCAUCCCAUUACUCUCCUGAAACAAUAUUGGAAAUUAUACAAUAUUAUAUAUUUUUUUCUUCAAAUAUAUAUGAAUAAAUAUUAAAAAAUAUUGAUUGGU
Molecule: long non-coding RNA, 5452 nt
Organism: Anthonomus grandis grandis
Lineage: Eukaryota; Metazoa; Arthropoda; Insecta; Coleoptera; Curculionidae
Exons: 3
Source: RefSeq, a predicted model, not a curated record